This 253-nucleotide ribosomal RNA is filed under the name uncultured bacterium. RNAcentral describes it as "partial 16S ribosomal RNA". It matches the Rfam family "Bacterial small subunit ribosomal RNA", at positions 524 to 776 of the family's 1533-position model. The record is from RNAcentral.
UACGGGGGGGGCAAGCGUUGUUCGGAAUUACUGGGCGUAAAGGGUGCGUAGGCGGUCGGGUAAGUCUGACGUGAAAUCUCCAAGCUCAACUUGGAAAUGGCGUCGGAUACUAUUCGGCUCGAGGAAUGGAGGGGAGACUGGAAUUCUCGGUGUAGCAGUGAAAUGCGUAGAUAUCGAGAGGAACACCAGUGGCGAAGGCGAGUCUCUGGACAUUUCCUGACGCUGAGGCACGAAAGCCAGGGGAGCAAACGGG